GUGCAGCAGGCGCGAAAACUUUACAAUGUGCGAAAGCACGAUAAGGGAACUCUGAGUGCCUCCUAAGGAGGCUGUUCUGAUGUCUAAAAAGCAACAGAAGUAAGGGCUGGGUAAGACCGGUGCCAGCCGCCGCGGUAACACCGGGCAGCCCAAGUGGUAGCCACGUUUAUUGGGUCUAAAGCGUUCGUAGCCGGGCCAGGUAAGUUCCUUGGUAAAUUUAGCCGCUUAACGGUUAAGCUUUCAGGGAAUACUGCUUGGCUUGGGACUGGGGAGAGGUCAGAGGUACUCCGGGGGUAGGGGUGAAAUCUAUUAAUCCCUGGGGGACCACCGGUAGCGAAGGCGUCUGACCAGGACCAGGUCCGACGGUGAGGGACGAAGGCUAGGGGCGCGAACCGGAUUAGGAUA
This 405-nucleotide ribosomal RNA is filed under the name uncultured microorganism. Its description in RNAcentral is "bacterial SSU rRNA". It matches the Rfam family "Archaeal small subunit ribosomal RNA", at positions 330 to 735 of the family's 1478-position model. The record is from RNAcentral.